RNAcentral lists this long non-coding RNA (578 nucleotides) under Chelonus insularis. Its description in RNAcentral is "uncharacterized LOC118070176". The record is from RNAcentral. Lineage: Eukaryota; Metazoa; Arthropoda; Insecta; Hymenoptera; Braconidae.
UUUAAUAAAAUGAUGAAGCUAAGACUACAAUUUUUUAACUAAUAUAUUUAGUAUAAGGUUUUCGUUAAGAGUCUGUUUCAAGUACUCUCAUGUUUACUUAAGUAUUGGUUUCCAUUCAUCUGUUGAUACUUUUAUUACUUUCAUGAUGAUUGUACCAGCACAUGAGUCUCUGAUCGACGCAUAAUCAGGACAAAGAAAGAGAUGUUUGGUUUUCAAUCAAAGAUAUCUUAAAGAAAAUGAGUCAGUCUUUAAAAAAGUUCCAACGAGUGCACUGUGUCGUUUUGCUGUAAUUAAAUACAUCUCUAGUGUGGUCAAUCCAAAUUGGAAUUAAGCCUCUGAUUUUCUCUUUCAUUGUUGUUUGAUCAAUUACAAUAAGUCAUAUUGCUGGAUUCAAUCUUCAACUAAGUUGAUUCAACAGCUUCAACCUCUUAAUUAUUGUUCAAACACUGGUCUGCGAUCACCUCGACGUGUAACCAGCUCUCUACAUUCUACGUUAUUUUAGAUCAGCUAUUUUAAUCUCAGUUAUUAAUGCCUAAUUCAACUUUUGCUAAUAAAUAAGUUUAAAUAAUUAAUUAAAA